GACGAACGCUGGCGGCGUGCUUAACACAUGCAGGUCGAACGGAAAGGCCCUGCUUUUGUGGGGUGCUCGAGUGGCGAACGGGUGAGUAACACGUGAGUAACCUGCCCUUGACUUUGGGAUAACUUCAGGAAACUGGGGCUAAUACCGGGUAGGAGCUCCUGCUGCAUGGUGGGGGUUGGAAAGUUUCGGCGGUUGGGGAUGGACUCGCGGCUUAUCAGCUUGUUGGUGGGGUAGUGGCUUACCAAGGCUUUGACGGGUAGCCGGCCUGAGAGGGUGACCGGCCACAUUGGGACUGAGAUACGGCCCAGACUCCUACGGGAGGCAGCAGUGGGGAAUAUUGCACAAUGGGCGGAAGCCUGAUGCAGCAACGCCGCGUGCGGGAUGACGGCCUUCGGGUUGUAAACCGCUUUCGCCUGCGACGAAGCGUGAGUGACGGUAAUGGGUAAAGAAGCACCGGCUAACUACGUG
This 468-nucleotide ribosomal RNA is filed under the name uncultured bacterium. RNAcentral's name for it is "partial 16S ribosomal RNA". It matches the Rfam family "Bacterial small subunit ribosomal RNA", at positions 28 to 507 of the family's 1533-position model. The record is from RNAcentral.